UACAGAGGUCCCGAGCGUUGUUCGGAUUCAUUGGGCGUAAAGGGCGCGUAGGUGGCGGGACAAGCGUGCGGUGAAAGCCUGGGGCUCAACCCCGGGUCGGCCGUGCGAACUGUUUUGCUUGAGCACUGUAGAGGCAGGCGGAAUUCCGGGUGUAGCGGUGGAAUGCGUAGAGAUCCGGAAGAACACCGGUGGCGAAGGCGGCUUGCUGGGCCUUACCUGACGCUGAGGAGCGAAAGCGUGGGGAGCGAACAGG
Molecule: ribosomal RNA, 253 nt
Filed under: uncultured bacterium
Lineage: Bacteria
Description: partial 16S ribosomal RNA
Rfam family: Bacterial small subunit ribosomal RNA
Source: RNAcentral